RNAcentral lists this ribosomal RNA (484 nucleotides) under uncultured bacterium. Its description in RNAcentral is "partial 16S ribosomal RNA". It matches the Rfam family "Bacterial small subunit ribosomal RNA", at positions 30 to 507 of the family's 1533-position model. The record is from RNAcentral.
AUUGAACGCUGGCGGCAGGCCUAACACAUGCAAGUCGAGCGGAUGAAGGGAGCUUGCUCCUGGAUUCAGCGGCGGACGGGUGAGUAAUGCCUAGGAAUCUGCCUGGUAGUGGGGGAUAACGUCCGGAAACGGGCGCUAAUACCGCAUACGUCCUGAUGGAGAAAGUGGGGGAUCUUCGGACCUCACGCUAUCAGAUGAGCCUAGGUCGGAUUAGCUAGUUGGUGGGGUAAAGGCCUACCAAGGCGACGAUCCGUAACUGGUCUGAGAGGAUGAUCAGUCACACUGGAACUGAGACACGGUCCAGACUCCUACGGGAGGCAGCAGUUGGGAAUAUUGGACAAUGGGCGAAAGCCUGAUCCAGCCAUGCCGCGUGUGUGAAGAAGGUCUUCGGAUUGUAAAGCACUUUAAGUUGGGAGGAAGGGCAGUAAGUUAAUACCUUGCUGUUUUGACGUUACCAACAGAAUAAGCACCGGCUAACUUCGUG